RNAcentral lists this unclassified non-coding RNA (245 nucleotides) under Glomus sp. Its description in RNAcentral is "partial contains 5.8S ribosomal RNA and internal transcribed spacer 2". The stretch from base 1 to 72 matches the Rfam family "5.8S ribosomal RNA", at positions 84 to 154 of the family's 154-position model. Lineage: Eukaryota; Fungi; Glomeromycota; Glomeromycetes; Glomerales; Glomeraceae. The record is from RNAcentral.
GUGAAUCAUCGAAUCUUUGAACGCAAAUUGCACUCUCCGGUUUUCCGUGAGAGUAUGCCUGUUUGAGGGUCAGCCUAAAAAAAAUCGACCUUGUUGCUGUUAUUUAAUGGUUACUUUCGUCGGAGAAUGGGUUAUCUUAAACCUUUUUUUUUUUUUUUUUUAAGCGACUUAAAAUUUUUCUUCUCGAUUCCAUUAACGUUUUUACGAUUUUUAUUUUUUUUAUGUUUAAGUUUUAUCGUUCUUUU